Molecule: long non-coding RNA, 648 nt
Filed under: Marmota monax (woodchuck)
Lineage: Eukaryota; Metazoa; Chordata; Mammalia; Rodentia; Sciuridae
Source: RNAcentral
GUGGAUUCCCUACUAGGCAUGGAGUCCCGGGUUCUAUCCGCAGUACCACUAAUAAAAUUAAAAAUAAAAAUUCUAUGGGCUGGAGUUGUGGCUCAGUGGCAGAGCGCUUGCCUAGCACGUGCGAGGCACUGGGUUCAAGUCUCAGCAUCACAUAUAAAUAAAUAAAGGUCCAUCAAUAACUAAUAAAAAUAUUUUAAAAAUUCUACACGUUUAGCUGGUUACAGUGGUGCACACCUGUAAUCUUAGUUGAAGCUAACCUCAGCAACUUAGUGAGACACUGUGUCAAAAUAAAAAAUAUAAUGGUCUGGGUAUGUGGCUCAGAGGUUGAAUGCCCCUGGGUUGAGUUCCUGGUAGCAAAAAAAAAAAAAAAAAAAUCUACAUGAUUAAAAAUUAUAUUCUGCAGGUGAUAGAAAUAAUGUUUCCAUGUGUCCAUUUAUUCAAUUUUUCUCAUCUUAAUGCUCAAGCCUAUAUUAUUCCUAAGCUUUUGUCUGAUUUUCCAUCAAUUACUAAGACAGAUAUGUAAAAUCAUUUGCAUGGAUUUAUUUCUUCUUUGAUAUCUUUAGAUUUUAUUUUAUUUAUUUGUAAUUAUUUUUUAAAUUAUAAUAUGUUCCUGGUGAAUUAAACCUUUUAUCACUAUGAAGACCCUCU